GAGGUUUAACGUACAAAGCGCGGCCCACGAGGUUGUAAGGUACGACUUGAGGGUGAAUGGCAACAAGUAGAUGUAGUGAACUGCUUUAAAAUAUUGCUUACUUUUGUGCGUGAUAUCUGUUCAAGACCUCAACUGCUCGUUAGAAAAGCGCAGACUCAUACUACGCGCUGUUUCGCCCCAUUUUUAAAUGGGGUGAAACUUAAAGUCUCAAGGUCGUUUCCAAGAUGGCGCUCCAGCUCCCCUAUUGAUAACCGACGCAAGGUGAAAACUCCAGACAACCCUUCCUAAAAGAGAAAGGUCAAAGUGAAUAACAGUUCAGAGAAAGGCAAACCGGUCAGUGGUGCAUUUCAUGAGCCAAUGCAGGAUGUGUCCAACAAGAUUUGAGGGUAGAUUUUACUGGGUGUGCUGUCAUCGUUGUUUUCAUCGUCACAUCAUGCUAGAAAAGCUGCCCUGGAUUCUUACUCUCAAUUUUCCUUGAACAAAGGAGCUUUUGAAUGGAGAAACUUGCAAAGCUUGGUGUGGUUUUCUUUUGGGGGAGUGAAUGGCAUAAGAAAUUUGCACAGCUGUUAUUUUUGUGGUUCCUAUUUGUGUUUGUAAUGAGGUGAGGUACACUGCCAAGACCUAACCAAGCAAGAUUUUUGAGGUGAGAAUACCAGUGGUUUAAAGCAGGCAGGUUAAAGAUCAGAAGUUGAGCCACUGUCGUGGUUGUGAUUUGGGAUCAAGUGUUAUGCUCCUUUAGUUUACAAGGUCCAUCAUACUUGAUUCAUAAACUUGAUUCUGCCAUGGAAAUCAUGGGAACAGAUGGACAAUAAUUUUCUCAGAAUACAUUUAGUAAGGUUGUCUUUGAACAAGAGCUGUGUAACUGGAAUGUCUUGCAACCAAGACUGGACCUGAUUUCUUCUCUGUAUACUGAUUAAUUCACAGUGAUAAUAAAAUUUCCAAACAGUA
Molecule: non-coding RNA, 948 nt
Organism: Pocillopora verrucosa
Lineage: Eukaryota; Metazoa; Cnidaria; Anthozoa; Scleractinia; Pocilloporidae
Source: RefSeq, a predicted model, not a curated record